Long non-coding RNA from Triticum aestivum (bread wheat), 475 nucleotides. RefSeq lists it as uncharacterized. The transcript has 2 exons. NCBI's taxonomy places the organism in Eukaryota, Viridiplantae, Streptophyta, Magnoliopsida, Poales, Poaceae. The record is from RefSeq and is a predicted model, not a curated record.
ACCAAAAUCAAGUGUUCCCUCCGUCCCAUACCAUAAUGUAAGAUGUUUUUUUAACAUCAAACUAGUAUUAAAAAACGUCUUAUAUUAUGGGAUGAAGGGAGUAGUAAGCUACCUACGUAAUUCAGAUUCUAGUGAGCUUCUCCUCCACCAUCAUGGCCAACUUCGCCGCCCAGCUCAAGGAUAGUUUUUUCGGCCUCGUCGACCGCAUCAUUGGCCGUGGCCGCGUCGGUGCGCUGGCGCCGGCCGUGCAGGAGCACAUCGAGAUUCGAUCGAGAGGCCCCGAUGUGUCAGGAGGAUCGGAGGCGGGAGUCAAUUAGACAACGUUGGUGCUACUUGUCAAUUACUAUCUGCUAAAGUCCCGAGAUUAUUUCUCGCAAACAAAAAAAUGUCCGGAGGUUAUUGCUUCUCUCCAGAUUGAUGCAUGUGGCUUCCCUUGUUCUGAAAGUUGAAACAGAUGCAUUGAUUGCUGGUGUUC